GUGGCCGUAGCUCAAUGGUAGAGCGUCUGGCUGUGGCCCAGAAGGCUGCGGGUUCGAUCCCCGUCGGUCACCCACCA
Molecule: transfer RNA, 77 nt
Filed under: bacterium
Lineage: Bacteria
Description: tRNA-His
Rfam family: tRNA
About the family: Transfer RNA (tRNA) molecules are approximately 80 nucleotides in length. Their secondary structure includes four short double-helical elements and three loops (D, anti-codon, and T loops).
Source: RNAcentral